AAUGAUGAUAGAGAAUUGACCAAGAAA
RNAcentral lists this non-coding RNA (27 nucleotides) under Cricetulus griseus (Chinese hamster). Lineage: Eukaryota; Metazoa; Chordata; Mammalia; Rodentia; Cricetidae. The record is from RNAcentral.